This 425-nucleotide ribosomal RNA is filed under the name uncultured bacterium. RNAcentral describes it as "partial 16S ribosomal RNA". It matches the Rfam family "Bacterial small subunit ribosomal RNA", at positions 354 to 796 of the family's 1533-position model. The record is from RNAcentral.
GUGGGGAAUCUUAGACAAUGGGGGCAACCCUGAUCUAGCCAUGCCGCGUGAUCGAUGAAGGCCUUAGGGUUGUAAAGAUCUUUCAGCUGGGAAGAUAAUGACGGUACCAGCAGAAGAAGCCCCGGCUAACUCCGUGCCAGCAGCCGCGGUAAUACGGAGGGGACUAGCGUUGUUCGGAAUUACUGGGCGUAAAGCGCACGUAGGCGGAUUGGAAAGUUGGGGGUGAAAUCCCGGGGCUCAACCCCGGAACUGCCUUUGAAACUCCCAGUCUUGAGUUCGAGAGAGGUGAGUGGAAUUCCGAGUGUAGAGGUGAAAUUCGUAGAUAUUCGGAGGAACACCAGUGGCGAAGGCGGCUCACUGGCUCGAUACUGACGCUGAGGUGCGAAAGCGUGGGGAGCAAACAGGAUUAGAAACCCGUGUAGUCC